This 389-nucleotide ribosomal RNA is filed under the name uncultured bacterium. RNAcentral's name for it is "bacterial SSU rRNA". It matches the Rfam family "Bacterial small subunit ribosomal RNA", at positions 28 to 418 of the family's 1533-position model. The record is from RNAcentral.
GACGAACGCUGGCGGCGUGCUUAACACAUGCAAGUCGAGCGGUAAGGCCCUUUCGGGGGUACACGAGCGGCGAACGGGUGAGUAACACGUGGGUGACCUGCCCUCAGCUCUGGGAUAAGCCUGGGAAACCGGGUCUAAUACCGGAUAUGACUCCAUGACGCAUGUUGUGGGGUGGAAAGCCUUGUGCGGCUGAGGAUGGGCCCGCGGCCUAUCAGCUUGUUGGUGGGGUGAUGGCCUACCAAGGCGACGACGGGUAGCCGGCCUGAGAGGGCGGCCGGCCACACUGGGACUGAGACACGGCCCAGACUCCUACGGGAGGCAGCAGUGGGGAAUCUUGCGCAAUGGGCGAAAGCCUGACGCAGCGACGCCGCGUGAGGGAUGACGGCCUU